AGAUUGAACGCUAGCGGGAUGCUUUACACAUGCAAGUCGAACGGCAGCGCGGACUUCGGUCUGGCGGCGAGUGGCGAACGGGUGAGUAAUAUAUCGGAACGUGCCCAGUAGCGGGGGAUAACUACGCGAAAGCGUGGCUAAUACCGCAUACGCCCUACGGGGGAAAGGGGGGGAUCUUCGGAACCUCUCACUAUUGGAGCGGCCGAUAUCAGAUUAGCUAGUUGGUGAGGUAAAGGCUCACCAAGGCGACGAUCUGUAGCUGGUUUGAGAGGACGACCAGCCACACUGGGACUGAGACACGGCCCAGACUCCUACGGGAGGCAGCAGUGGGAAUUUGGACAAUGGGGGAACCCUG
RNAcentral lists this ribosomal RNA (355 nucleotides) under uncultured soil bacterium. Its description in RNAcentral is "bacterial SSU rRNA". It matches the Rfam family "Bacterial small subunit ribosomal RNA", at positions 26 to 385 of the family's 1533-position model. The record is from RNAcentral.